Long non-coding RNA from Camellia sinensis, 1216 nucleotides. RefSeq lists it as uncharacterized. The record is from RefSeq and is a predicted model, not a curated record. Lineage: Eukaryota; Viridiplantae; Streptophyta; Magnoliopsida; Ericales; Theaceae.
GGAUACUGCGGCUGCACCUGCUAUAUUCACUGCUGCUGCACCUGCUAUAUUUGAUGAAAGUCAAGAAAGCAUAGACAGAGCAGCUACACUCACAGCUGCAGACAGAGCAGCUGUAAAAGCUGCAAGUAUAGACAAUUAAUUGCAAGAAGAGUUUUAGAGCUGAGGGUUAUCACAAGUUCAUCACAAUGUAAACAAUAUACAAUAGAGUAAUUCUAUUUGAAGAAGAAGAGAGAGAGAGACGCAAAUAAGAAGAGGAGACGGGGACUAGGGAGGCGACCAGUGAGGAUGGUCGUGAUGGUGGGUGCCAGUGACGGUGGCCGGAGAAGGAAAGCAAGCGGAGGCAGGCAGUAGGUGGUACAGUCCAAAAUAGUAUAAACCCAGAUUUUCUUUCUUGGGUAUACAACGUGGGGGAUUGGGGCAAGGCUGGUGGAUGAAAAAAGUCUAUGAUCUUGAUCUACGUUCUUGUGGAAUCUCACCACAAACAAAGUAGGGAGCUCGGAGCGCAAUCCAGUGCUACAAAUGAGGAGAUCUUCACACAGGUUCUAAGGCCUGAUCAACCUGGUCGUGUUUGAACAUAUGGAUGGGGUCCUUCUCCAACAAUUGUCUUUGGAGGUGGAUAUAGGCAGUCACAAGAGCAGGCUCAUCUCAUCUAGACGCAAGUCCAAGAGUAACUUAACCAACAUAAAGUACAAAUGGAGAUGCAAGUGAAGGAGAUGACGGAUACUAUGUUUAGUCAGAUGCAAGGUACAAUCCAAGCUCAACAAGCACGAAUAGAGCUGUUGGAGUCUCAACAAGCCAUGGGUGGGCCUAUUGCACUAGCUGCUACACAUGUGCAUUCACAACAACAAUCCCAUGCGUACACCUCAUCGUUAAUUGCCAUCAUUCAUCCGAGGAAGUUCAAAUAUCAAAGGAAGAAGGAAGAAGGAGAAGAAGUAGAUAGGACAAACACAAUGUCGAAGGGACUCUUAUUUUGCAGUAAGUUUGCUUAUCUCUCUACUUGGCUAUUUAUUUACUGAUAUUGAUACUAAGAUCUUCUGUAUAAUUGCAUAAGGCUUAGUUGCUAGAAUUAUGGUUCAAAAGUAGCAUCGGUACUGAUCAGAGGGUUCUUACUGUUUGCUAGUUUAAAAGUAGUAACUCAAGAACAUUACUUCAUGUUUCAUUUUUAUCUAUUAUCAUUUUAGUUCAAUAAUAUAUUUCCCUUCUUGAUUUGGACACC